AUGCAGUCGAACGAUGAAGCUCCAGCUUGCUGGAGUGGAUUAGUGGCGAACGGGUGAGUAACACGUGAGCAACCUGCCCCUGACUCUGGGAUAAGCGCUGGAAACGGCGUCUAAUACUGGAUAUGCACUGUAGCCGCAUGGUUUGCAGUGGGAAAGAUUUAUCGGUUGGGGAUGGGCUCGCGGCCUAUCAGCUUGUUGGUGAGGUAAUGGCUCACCAAGGCGUCGACGGGUAGCCGGCCUGAGAGGGUGACCGGCCACACUGGGACUGAGACACGGCCCAGACUCCUACGGGAGGCAGCAGUGGGGAAUAUUGCACAAUGGGCGCAAGCCUGAUGCAGCAACGCCGCGUGAGGGAUGACGGCCUUCGGGUUGUAAACCUCUUUUAGCAGGGAAGAAGCCUUCGGGUGACGGUACCUGCAGAAAAAGCGCCGGCUAACUACGUGCCAGCAGCCGCGGUAAUACGUAGGGCGCAAGCGUUAUCCGGAAUUAUUGGGCGUAAAGAGCUCGUAGGCGGUUUGUCACGUCUGCUGUGAAAUCUGGAGGCUCAACCUCCAGCCUGCAGUGGGUACGGGCAGACUAGAGUGCGGUAGGGGAGAUUGGAAUUCCUGGUGUAGCGGUGGAAUGCGCAGAUAUCAGGAGGAACACCGAUGGCGAAGGCAGAUCUCUGGGCCGUUACUGACGCUGAGGAGCGAAAGGGUGGGGAGCAAACAGGCUUAGAUACCCUGGUAGUCCACCCCGUAAACGUUGGGAACUAGUUGUGGGGGCCUUUCCACGGUCUCUGUGACGCAGCUAACGCAUUAAGUUCCCCGCCUGGGGAGUACGGCCGCAAGGCUAAAACUCAAAGGAAUUGACGGGGACCCGCACAAGCGGCGGAGCAUGCGGAUUAAUUCGAUGCAACGCGAAGAACCUUACCAAGGCUUGACAUAUUCGAGAACACUGCAGAAUGUAGGACUCUUUGGACACUCGUAUACAGGUGGUGCAUGGUUGUCGUCAGCUCGUGUCGUGAGAUGUUGGGUUAAGUCCCGCAA
This 1028-nucleotide ribosomal RNA is filed under the name Microbacterium sp. RNAcentral describes it as "bacterial SSU rRNA". It matches the Rfam family "Bacterial small subunit ribosomal RNA", at positions 55 to 1092 of the family's 1533-position model. The record is from RNAcentral. Lineage: Bacteria; Bacillati; Actinomycetota; Actinomycetes; Micrococcales; Microbacteriaceae.